CAGCCGCCGCGGGAAUACAGAGGAUGCAAGCGUUAUCCGGAAUGAUUGGGCGUAAAGGGCUCGCAAGCGGUUUCUUAAGUCUGAUGUGAAAGCCCCCGGCUCAACCGGGGAGGGUCAUUGGAAACUGGGAAACUUGAGUGCAGAAGAGGAGAGUGGAAUUCCACGUGUAGCGGUGAAAUGCGUAGAGAUGUGGAGGAACACCAGUGGCGAAGGCGACUCUCUGGUCUGUAACUGACGCUGAGGAGCGAAAGCGUGGGGAGCGAACAGGAUUAGAUACCCCAGUAGUCCCUGUCUCUUAUAC
Molecule: ribosomal RNA, 301 nt
Filed under: uncultured bacterium
Lineage: Bacteria
Description: partial 16S ribosomal RNA
Rfam family: Bacterial small subunit ribosomal RNA
Source: RNAcentral